AAAUUGAAGAGUUUGAUCAUGGCUCAGAUUGAACGCUGGCGGCAGGCCUAACACAUGCAAGUCGAGCGGUAGCACAGAGAGCUUGCUCUCGGGUGACGAGCGGCGGACGGGUGAGUAAUGUCUGGGAAACUGCCUGAUGGAGGGGGAUAACUACUGGAAACGGUAGCUAAUACCGCAUAACGUCGCAAGACCAAAGUGGGGGACCUUCGGGCCUCAUGCCAUCAGAUGUGCCCAGAUGGGAUUAGCUAGUAGGUGGGGUAACGGCUCACCUAGGCGACGAUCCCUAGCUGGUCUGAGAGGAUGACCAGCCACACUGGAACUGAGACACGGUCCAGACUCCUACGGGAGGCAGCAGUGGGGAAUAUUGCACAAUGGGCGCAAGCCUGAUGCAGCCAUGCCGCGUGUGUGAAGAAGGCCUUCGGGUUGUAAAGCACUUUCAGCGGGGAGGAAGGCGUUAAGGUUAAUAACCUUGGCGAUUGACGUUACCCGCAGAAGAAGCACCGGCUAACUCCGUGCCAGCAGCCGCGGUAAUACGGAGGGUGCAAGCGUUAAUCGGAAUUACUGGGCGUAAAGCGCACGCAGGCGGUCUGUCAAGUCGGAUGUGAAAUCCCCGGGCUCAACCUGGGAACUGCAUUCGAAACUGGCAGGCUAGAGUCUUGUAGAGGGGGGUAGAAUUCCAGGUGUAGCGGUGAAAUGCGUAGAGAUCUGGAGGAAUACCGGUGGCGAAGGCGGCCCCCUGGACAAAGACUGACGCUCAGGUGCGAAAGCGUGGGGAGCAAACAGGAUUAGAUACCCUGGUAGUCCACGCCGUAAACGAUGUCGAUUUGGAGGUUGUGCCCUUGAGGCGUGGCUUACGGAGCUAACGCGUUAAAUCGACCGCCUGGGGAGUACGGCCGCAAGGUUAAAACUCAAAUGAAUUGACGGGGGCCCGCACAAGCGGUGGAGCAUGUGGUUUAAUUCGAUGCAACGCGAAGAACCUUACCUGGUCUUGACAUCCACAGAACUUAGCAGAGAUGCUUUGGUGCCUUCGGGAACUGUGAGACAGGUGCUGCAUGGCUGUCGUCAGCUCGUGUUGUGAAAUGUUGGGUUAAGUCCCGCAACGAGCGCAACCCUUAUCCUUUGUUGCCAGCGGUCCGGCCGGGAACUCAAAGGAGACUGCCAGUGAUAAACUGGAGGAAGGUGGGGAUGACGUCAAGUCAUCAUGGCCCUUACGACCAGGGCUACACACGUGCUACAAUGGCAUAUACAAAGAGAAGCGACCUCGCGAGAGCAAGCGGACCUCAUAAAGUAUGUCGUAGUCCGGAUUGGAGUCUGCAACUCGACUCCAUGAAGUCGGAAUCGCUAGUAAUCGUAGAUCAGAAUGCUACGGUGAAUACGUUCCCGGGCCUUGUACACACCGCCCGUCACACCAUGGGAGUGGGUUGCAAAAGAAGUAGGUAGCUUAACCUUCGGGAGGGCGCUUACCACUUUGUGAUUCAUGACUGGGGUGAAGUCGUAACAAGGUAACCGUAGGGGAACCUGCGGUUGGAUCACCUCCUUACCUUAAAGAA
Molecule: ribosomal RNA, 1550 nt
Filed under: Klebsiella pneumoniae
Lineage: Bacteria; Pseudomonadati; Pseudomonadota; Gammaproteobacteria; Enterobacterales; Enterobacteriaceae
Description: bacterial SSU rRNA
Rfam family: Bacterial small subunit ribosomal RNA
Source: RNAcentral